Molecule: ribosomal RNA, 253 nt
Filed under: uncultured bacterium
Lineage: Bacteria
Description: partial 16S ribosomal RNA
Rfam family: Bacterial small subunit ribosomal RNA
Source: RNAcentral
UACGGAGGGAGCUAGCGUUGUUCGGAAUUACUGGGCGUAAAGCGUGCGUAGGCGGUUAUUCAAGUCAGAGGUGAAAGCCCGGGGCUCAACCCCGGAACUGCCUUUGAAACUAGAUAGCUAGAAUCUUGGAGAGGUCAGUGGAAUUCUGAGUGUAGAGGUGAAAUUCGUAGAUAUUCGGAAGAACACCAGUGGCGAAGGCGACUGACUGGACAAGUAUUGACGCUGAGGCACGAAAGCGUGGGGAGCAAACAGG